RNAcentral lists this long non-coding RNA (934 nucleotides) under Solanum tuberosum (potato). RNAcentral's name for it is "long non-coding RNA (STUB_LNC009090)". Lineage: Eukaryota; Viridiplantae; Streptophyta; Magnoliopsida; Solanales; Solanaceae. The record is from RNAcentral.
AAAAAUUGGCACACUUAUGUAUUCAAUAAAAUGUUAAGUUUUGUAUUUCGUAAAGUAUCAAAAUAAUCAAUUUAAUGUUUUUUCUCAGGCUAACAUGAUCAAGAAGACUGGAACUACCGUAGUUGGCACAAAUAAAAAGAAUUGAGUAUGUUUGAAAAAAACUACAAGAUCUUUCUUUUCUUUCAAAAGGAGGAAAAAUUCAUGUAUAUAAUUACUGUUUUUGCAUCAAUUCUUUAAUAUUUGUGUUUUUAGAAAAAUUCAACUAGUCAUUUUUGAUAUCCCAAAUUGUUCUAGUUAAUGGGGGUCUAAUUCUAUUAUUAUAUAGUUAUAAAUUUUCUUGUGUGCAUUUCUUGUGCAGAAUUUGUAAGGAAAUUGAGGUCAAGUAUCGACUUCAACAUGCUCGACUUUUGGAUUGACGAUUUCAUAAAAGUUUAUUGCAAAUUUACUGGAGAUUUUUAUUCCAUUUGAAUUAGGAGUUAAUUAGUUGGUUUUAUGUUGAGAUUAUUAUAUUUAGUUAGUUCUCAAUUUUACUUGAGAUAGAAAAGAUAAUUUGUUUUGACAUUGUUUACUUUUACAGAAAAUUUAUUAUAUUGCUAUUUUGCUAUUUGAUUAUAAUAUUAGAAAAUAUUUGCUUUAUAUAAUAUUUCUUGCUUAUCAGGAAGAAGAUAGUUUUGAAUGAAUUGUUUGUAUGUAUAUGUGUCUUCAGAAAAACUAUACUAUAUAGAUUUUUCUGGAAUGUUUAAAGAAAUUUGGUAACGACAUUAGAAUAUUAAUAUGACAUUUAGCAAAAUAUAAAAUAAUGUCACCAAUUUUUAUGACAUUCAAUAAUAGCAUUUGUUGACAUUAACUAAAGUGUCAGAAAUUUCAAUGUGUCAUUUUAUAAAUGUCACAAGUAAGUGUCUUGAAAUUUGUUUUACCAACAUUUAAUCUAAAU